RNAcentral lists this unclassified non-coding RNA (1179 nucleotides) under Hevea brasiliensis (rubber tree). The record is from RNAcentral. Lineage: Eukaryota; Viridiplantae; Streptophyta; Magnoliopsida; Malpighiales; Euphorbiaceae.
ACACGGUGAUGAUCCCUGUCUACUUCCAGAUGGAACUGAUGCUUAUGCCCUAGCCAAAAAAGCUGGUCGGUACAAGCAAAUCAAACGAACUGAGGGUGUCUCCAGCACAGACAUUGUAGGGAGGAUUCUUUCUGCUUCUAAAAGUGGAGAUUCUCCUCAAGAUUGCUCCAAUUCAACUCCGGUUGGCGAAGCUGAUGAUAUAAAAAAUAAAUUUGGUGCUGAAAAACAGGCUAAGGGUGGUCAGAUGUCUCAUUUUUUGCCCACUUCAAGACGAAUUGUGCAAUUUUCAAAUGGCAAGGGGCCUGCGCCUAAUUCUCGAGUGGUGUAUAUUGAUGGUGCAUUUGACCUUUUCCAUGCUGGACAUGUUGAGAUUCUCAAAAGUGCAAGGCAGCAUGGAGAUUUUCUUUUAGUUGGUAUUUAUCCUGACCAGACUGUCAGUGAACUUCGUGGACAUCAGUAUCCACUGAUGAAUCUGUAUGAGCGUAGUCUUGGUGUACUUGCAUGCCGUUAUGUUGAUGAGGUUAUCAUUGGUGCCCCUUGGGAAGUAACUCAGGAUAUGAUAACAACUUUCAACAUUUCUUUGGUUGUACAUGGAACGGUUUCUGAGAGCAACUUUUCCACAGAAGGAGGACAGGACCCAUAUGCAGUUCCUAAAAGCAUGGGAAUCUUCCAAGUAAUUGAGAGCCCUAAAGAUAUUACAACUUCUUCAGUUGCUCAAAGAAUCAUCGCUAACCAUGAGAUUUAUGUGAAAAGAAAUACCAAGAAAGCAGCAAGCGAGAAAAAAUACUAUGCGGAAAGGAAGUAUGUAUCUGGUGAUUAAGUUUUACAUCCAUUAUUCUGGCCCUCGUGUAGCUGACUUGUUCUAGGCGAAGUUGCUCCCUUUCUGAGGUAGUUGUUCCUGUACUUUUGUAUUUGAAAGAUGUAUGAACAAGAAGGGAACAAGAUAUAAGAAGAAAAUACCUACCCUAGACAGAAGAGCUAGAAGUUUUUGGUUCUAUUUUUCAUUUAUUUUGGCUGUAACCUUCCUCCUCGGUGAGUUGCCGAAGAUGGUUAAGCUAAUUUCCUAAUCUCAGGAAUCACAAAUUGAUUGUUGUAUUAAUAGUUAAUUUAAGAUCCAUUUUAAAAAUUUCAAGCAGUUUGACUUGACUGCCUCUGUACAUAAACUAGGUCUUGAUUCUG